This 374-nucleotide unclassified non-coding RNA is filed under the name uncultured bacterium. RNAcentral describes it as "contains 16S-23S intergenic spacer region". The record is from RNAcentral.
UCCGGCUUAUCACCGGCAGUCCCUCUAGAGUGCCCAACUAAAUGAUGGCAACUAAAGGCGAGGGUUGCGCUCGUUGCGGGACUUAACCCAACAUCUCACGACACGAGCUGACGACAGCCAUGCAGCACCUGUGCACCAGCCCCGAAGGGAGGGUGUGUUUCCACACCUGUCUAGUGCAUGUCAAGCCCCGGUAAGGUUCUUCGCGUUGCGUCGAAUUAAACCACAUGCUCCACCGCUUGUGCGGGCCCCCGUCAAUUCCUUUGAGUUUCAACCUUGCGAUUGUACUUCCCAGGUGGAAUACUUAAUGCGUUAGCUUGGAUACUGAUCCUAUAAAGGACCAACAUCUAGUAUUCAUCGUUUAGGGUGUGGACUAC